GACGAACGCUGGCGGUAUGCUUAACACAUGCAAGUCGAACGAGAAGUUUUUUAUUGAACCUUCGGGGGAUAUAAGAGACAGACAGUGGCGAACGGGUGAGUAACGCGUGGGCAACCUACCUAUCGGAGCGGGAUAGCCUCGAGAAAUCGGGAGUAAAACCGCAUAACACGGAUAUAUCGCAUGAUGAAUCCGUCAAAACUCCGGUGCCAAUAGAUGGGCCCGCGUCUGAUUAGCUAGUUGGUAAGGUAAGGGCUUACCAAGGCAACGAUCAGUAGCCGGUCUGAGAGGGCGAACGGCCACACUGGAACUGAGACACGGUCCAGACUCCUACGGGAGGCAGCAGUGGGGAAUAUUGCGCAAUGGGGGCAACCCUGACGCAGCAAUACCGCGUGAGUGAAGAAGGUUUUCGGAUCGUAAAGCUCUGUUAUUGGGGAAGAAGCAGGACGGUACC
Molecule: ribosomal RNA, 451 nt
Filed under: Pseudoramibacter alactolyticus
Lineage: Bacteria; Bacillati; Bacillota; Clostridia; Eubacteriales; Eubacteriaceae
Description: bacterial SSU rRNA
Rfam family: Bacterial small subunit ribosomal RNA
Source: RNAcentral